GCGGGUAUAGUUUAGUGGUAAAACCCUAGCCUUCCAAGCUAGUGAUGCGGGUUCGAUUCCCGCUACCCGCU
RNAcentral lists this transfer RNA (71 nucleotides) under Caulacanthus okamurae. Its description in RNAcentral is "tRNA-Gly". It matches the Rfam family "tRNA". From Rfam's summary of the family: Transfer RNA (tRNA) molecules are approximately 80 nucleotides in length. Their secondary structure includes four short double-helical elements and three loops (D, anti-codon, and T loops). Lineage: Eukaryota; Rhodophyta; Florideophyceae; Gigartinales; Caulacanthaceae. The record is from RNAcentral.